UGCAGUCGAGCGGUAGCACAGAGAGCUUGCUCUCGGGUGACGAGCGGCGGACGGGUGAGUAAUGUCUGGGAAACUGCCUGAUGGAGGGGGAUAACUACUGGAAACGGUAGCUAAUACCGCAUAACGUCGCAAGACCAAAGUGGGGGACCUUCGGGCCUCAUGCCAUCAGAUGUGCCCAGAUGGGAUUAGCUAGUAGGUGGGGUAAUGGCUCACCUAGGCGACGAUCCCUAGCUGGUCUGAGAGGAUGACCAGCCACACUGGAACUGAGACACGGUCCAGACUCCUACGGGAGGCAGCAGUGGGGAAUAUUGCACAAUGGGCGCAAGCCUGAUGCAGCCAUGCCGCGUGUAUGAAGAAGGCCUUCGGGUUGUAAAGUACUUUCAGCGAGGAGGAAGGCAUUAAGGUUAAUAACCUUAGUGAUUGACGUUACUCGCAGAAGAAGCACCGGCUAACUCCGUGCCAGCAGCCGCGGUAAUACGGAGGGUGCAAGCGUUAAUCGGAAUUACUGGGCGUAAAGCGCACGCAGGCGGUCUGUCAAGUCGGAUGUGAAAUCCCCGGGCUCAACCUGGGAACUGCA
RNAcentral lists this ribosomal RNA (577 nucleotides) under uncultured Enterobacter sp. RNAcentral's name for it is "bacterial SSU rRNA". It matches the Rfam family "Bacterial small subunit ribosomal RNA", at positions 56 to 625 of the family's 1533-position model. The record is from RNAcentral. Lineage: Bacteria; Pseudomonadati; Pseudomonadota; Gammaproteobacteria; Enterobacterales; Enterobacteriaceae.